AUGUCAAGAAAUGUCACAAAGGAUCAAGGCCUGAGUCACAGAUCUGAGGGCAGCCUCAAUGGCUGCCACAGAGAGCAAACACAAGCACUUCCUACCUCAAGUCUUAUCAAUUUGUCUUGUUUUUACUUGCGACCAAAUUGCAAUUCAUCAUCAUUUCAUUCCAAAUUAUUGGAAUCCCAGAAGCACCUCCUGACUCUUACCUGUGGAGCUCUUGAGAUGAAAAUGAAGGGUCACUGCCCAAUGCCUCGGCUUGUAAGUCAGGUAACCUCUGCUCUUGGCACCACCCCACCACGGUGCUGGUGGUGUUGCCGAUGCUGGAUGGGGGCUGAAAUGUCAAAUGACUGGUAAGCUGAGCCCGAAAGGACAUCGGGUCUCCCAGAGAGCCAAGCUGAGAGUCAAGCUGAGAAAUAAGCCUAUGCUAGCCAAUUUACCACGGGCUCCAUUGAAUAAUGACUGUGACAUUAGUUCACGGACAAAUGGUGGUGGUGGCCCACUUCUGGGUCUUCAGGACGGGGUUUCUCCCCUCUGCAUGUCCGGGUCCCUAUGGGAGCUUCAAGAAGUUUCCUCUGCAUGGUCUACACAGGGGAUUCUGAGUUAAUCAUAUUUGAUGGGGUUGGAGCAUCAGUAGCUUUGACAAACUCUUCUGGUGAUUUCAAUGUGCCCCCAGGGUUGAGAACCACUUUUUAGGGACUUCUGAGGCUCUGAACUAGUGGUUGAUGAAAGUGCUAAUGUGUCCUGUAGAAAAACACUUUUCAUCAGGGUGCAGUGGCCCAUGCCUGUAAUCCCAGCUCUUUGGGAGGCCGAGGUGGGUGGAUUGCUUGAGGUCAGGAGUUGGAGACCAGCCUGGCCAACAUGGUGAAACCCCGUCUCUACUAAAAAUACAAAAAUUAGCCAGAUCUGGUGGGACAGGCCUGUAAUCCCAGCUACUCAGGAGGCUGAGGCAGGAGAAUCACUUGAACCCCAGAAACAGAGGUUGCAGUGAGCCGAGAUCACACCACUGCACUCCAGCCUGGGCAACAGAGCAAGAUUCCAUCUCAAAAAAAAAAAGAAAAGAAAAGAAAAGAAAAACACUUUUCAUUAUGUAAAUUAAUCUUACUACUUUAACAAGAGCCCCAGAAAGGUAUAGCAGUGGUUAAAAAGGUGAUAUAUACAGGAAUUCCAGUAUCUAUUUUUCUGUUGUGAAGUCAGAGGGACAGGAACCUAGUGCUUAUAUGCACAGCAAUGUGGGAGGCAAAUGUGGGAAAAAGUCUGGGAUUCAUAGUUUUCAUUUCAACUUAGAAGCUCCUUAGCAGUGAAGCUGUCAGUCUACCC
This 1311-nucleotide long non-coding RNA is filed under the name Macaca mulatta (Rhesus monkey). Its description in RNAcentral is "lncRNA (ENSMMUG00000055354.1)". The record is from RNAcentral. Lineage: Eukaryota; Metazoa; Chordata; Mammalia; Primates; Cercopithecidae.